UUAGACGGCGUACCUUCUCGGACGGCCACCUUGUUGGUUGUCCAGUAGUAAUUGUGACCAUGUUUUGUUCUCUUGACUUGGAAAUGAUAAUUUCUCGCAAUAGGUCAUGGAUUCGACAAUUUCCGGGCAUUCCUUCAUAAAACACACCAGUCACUUGAAUUAGGCUUCUAUUGACAAGUUCACUGAGAUAACUCCAGGCUACAUCUUCAAUGUUCAUUCCUUCUCUCCAUUCUACAAACCGUUCAGCAAUCCAUAAGUUAACGAGUCUUAGGCAUCCUAUUUUGUAAUCCUCUGGAUAAAUGCUUGUGUACAACAGACAUAUCUUAAGAUGCCAAGGCAGGUCACUAUAACUAAGAAAAAGUAUCUUUUUAACUCUGUCCAGCUUACCAGUGCCUUCUAAUUCAACCCCAAGACUGCAUCUAACCAUCUCCCAUUCCUCUAUUCUGUUUACAUCUUUCGAAGCCAAAAGGCCACUGAUUGCAAGGAUUGCAAGGGGCAAGCCCUCACAUUUGUCCAAUAUACCUUUGGCAACAUCCAUCAAAUGACCAGGGCAAGUACCUCCGUUAAAGAUCUUGUUGCAAAAUAGGGUCCACGAAUCCUCAAUAGAUAGUGGCUCCAUUCUGUAGACAAAACGCCGAGAUUCAAUGCAAGAGGCAGAGGCUACAUCAGCUCUUCGAGUUGUUAGCAUGACACGGUUGCCAUGGCUACUCUCGGGCAGUGCAAAUUUGAUGGUAUUCCAAAAUUCCACGUCCCAUACAUCAUCAAAAACAAUUGCAUACCUUCCAGCUUGUUGAAGAAAAUCUUUGACAAUUUUUUUCAGCUCAGUGGUAGUCAUAGACUCUAUCGAUUGUGGGACUGGUUUCUUCCCUUCCUCGUGUAGCUGCCGAAUCAAGUCUAUCAGGAGGUACUGAAAGUCACAUGUUUCAGAGACAGUUACCCAAGCACGGACUGGGAAAUGCCUUCUGACUUCAAGAUCCUCAUGGACUUUUUUCACCAGGGUAGUUUUGCCAAGUCCUCCCAUACCAACCACUGAAACAACUUUUAGUUGGUAAUCAUCCCCUUGGAGGAGCUGAGAAAUUAGAUGUUUCUUGGGCUGGUCAAUGCCAACUAAUUUAGCUUCUUCCACAAGUAGUGCAUCAUCUCUGCUAUAGCGCCAUGUUGUGUUGUUCACAGCAGAAAGUGAGCUGGACGCUUGGGCAGAGAUACCAUAUUCGGAUUGGUAUCUUUGAUGACCUUCAGAAAUACUAUUGAUUCUGAACUUGAUGCUUUGUAUUUGGCUAGCAACUCGAUGACGAGCUCUCAAAUUCUUGAUGGAGCUGAAAAUUCUCCGAAAAGAGCCGUAGAAUCCUGUUGUGCGAUGCCGAGCAAAGCGAGCUACAAAUUCAUCAAGAAUGUCUUCAGUGUCAUAAGCUGCUUCUCGUACUUGCUUGAUCCAUUCUUGGAGUCUGGGUUGAGCAUCUUCUUCUUUUGCUUCUGCCUCUCUCAGGAAAGCUCUCAUGUGCCCCAAUUCAUCCCUGAUGAAUUGGACCUCUUGCCGAAGCCCACCCAACAGUCGUCCCUCCUCGCGCAGAAAAGUUGAGAGUUGAUCCAGCACAAAAGAGAGAACUGUUUCUGCCAUUUUCAGUCUUUCUCUUUAACUUAAGAAUGUAGGGGAAAGCGGCUUCUCGUUUAUGCGACAGUCCACUUGUAGUAUCUUGAAAGGAAGAAGGAAGAGUAGGUUAUAGAUUCAUAAGCUGAUGAACUUUGAUGCUAUAUGUUGCAGUAUUUAUCAAAAGGAAAAACCGUGUCAAAAAGAAAAAGAAAGAAUUAACCAAUUAGAAGAAGCUAAGGCAAGAAACAUGAUGGAAAUUGAAGACAGGAAGAUAGGCAGCAGCGUGAGUUUGAAAAACGAAGCUGCCUUACCUGCUACAAUACAAAAUCAUGGAAGCUAUUAAGAAGACUCUGCAAAUGGUGGGGUGAUCAGCCUUCAGGACCUUCUUUCAACUGUGGGUUCUUUACAAGGGGAAGGAAGAAAGUUAAAACGCUUUUGGACUGGACAUUGUUGAUUUCAUUGACGAAGAAACAAAACUGCUACAAAGUCUUUCCUAUAUGGUACUAAUUUCUGGUGACCAAUUAGUAUUUGUAAUAAAAACGGAUGUAAUAUCAAAGAAGCCUUGGGAACAAACCACUCCAAUGCGGUGUCUGACCAAAACGUGAACUAUAUUGAUUUAAGAGGUCUGUGAAAAGCAUGCAAAUUUAGCAAAAAAAAAAAGAAAAAAGAAAAGCAGAAAAUGCUAAGGAGUGCAUUAAAAAGAAUCAAAUUUCUUUGCAAUUAAAGAUUGCAUACCACUCAAUCGUGUCGUGGCUUAUUUCUGUGCUCAGCAUAAGACAGUUGAUGUAAACCUUUAAUUGUAAUGCCGUUACAAGGCUUAGAAUUCAAGAAGUCGCAAACCUUUCAAGAAUUAAAAAAAAAAACCACAUUUGAUGAAAAUUUACUGCAAAAACAAAUAUUAAAUCAUUCAAAUCUCCGCGUUAUUAUUAAACCGUUACAGAACAAAAACAAAAAUCUUCAUAAACCCUAGUACUAAACAUUACAGCAGGUCAACAUUACCAGUAAAUGCAGCUCAGAAAUGGACGUAAAAUUCAAGGAAUUUUUGCAGUUAAAACUGCAAUUUUCAGAAGAACAUAAAGUAGAGAGUCAAACAGAGAAAAGUCAUAGUCAAAUCUAGAGAGUCACAUUCAUUCAUCUUUUCAGACAACCUCAAAAAUUUAAAUUAAAUUUUAAAAAAAACUGAAAAGGAAAAAGAAAAAGCUGAGACAAAAGAAGAUAAAGAGGAAAAACUCACCUGAAGUUCGAGACUUUAUCUUUUACAGGCAAGGUAGGACUCAGAAGUUAGAUCACAGGCAGCAGCAGCAGCAGCAAACUUUGUUGGAGUUAAGAGAAAGAAAAGGCGCAAAAAAGAAUGAAAGAGAAGAAAAAAAGGGGUUCAGAUUUGUUGAAGUAGACGUAGAACGACGUCGUAAAAGAGCUAAAAUGAACUACUAGUAUGGAAGUUGAGUUGAGAGUGUAGUUGCUCCUCCAUUAUUGUUCUGGUGGAGGGAGACAGAAGAGGGACAGAGGAAGGAAGAAGAGAGAGAGAGAGAGAGAAGGGAGAGAAUUUGUACGGGGGAAGAAUACAAUGUACAAAUGUAUCAGAAGAAGAAGACAAAUGUAAAAGAGGCGAGAUUUAAUCAUUUAAAUAAAAAGGAUAAUUGCACUAUUCACCGCUAAACUAAUCGGCUUUAGUAAUUUGCCCGUAGAACGAUAAAUUGUAGUUGUAGUUAGAGGUGAAAGACAAUCAAGUUAAUUACUCCAGUUGGGCUAGAUACGAGUUUUUUCGAAAUUGAUUUGUCAAUUAAUCAAAAUCAAAUUUUGUUCGAGUAGCAUAAGAUUAUUAGAAUUUAAAUGUAAAAUAAUCAAAGUAUUCGGACUGAACUACUCCUCUGAGCUUAGUCUAGUAAAUAAAUAGUAUAAAAAUUCGAAAACAAUUUCAAACCCAUUCACAAAUGUGCUAGCAGAAGACAAAUGUAAAAGAAGCUAAUUGCCAAAAACCCCAUUUUCUAGAAACCAGAAAUAAAUGAUUUUAGUCAUUCAAUAAGAAGUAGGUAUAGAAUUACAAGAGAACUAUCCAGCGAUAGUGUUCAAUGCAUUAGUUAAUAUUCACCAACAACUAUAAAUUAGAAGCGGCAAUUUGGAUUGAAAUCCAUUUAUCCAUCCAUAUAAUCCAUAAUUAAAUGGAUAAUGGAUUAUCCAUUUAUAGUAUUGGUUUUAAAUGGUUGAUCAAAGUAAAACCAUUAAAUUAAAUGGAUUUAUAUGAAUUAUCCACUAAAACCAUAUAUAUUCAUUUACUUAAAAACCAAAUAAAAAAGAGGAAAAGGAAAUGACUAAAAAAGGAGCCAUCCUAAAAUUGCAAUUGGGGUGUGAAAAAGCUGUCCCCGUGAAUAGUAACCAACCCUGAAACUGAAUGUUGGGGUUUACUGCUGAAGAGGUCAGGAAACAAGUGAGAUUCGGUUGGCUUUGAAGCAAACCCAUUACUUUUUCCCAACGAUUCCUUGUGGAGGAUUAGAGUGCAAGCCUGGCACCACAGAAUUUGCGGUUCAGCCUCCCUCCUUGGUACACCCAUGCACCUGAUUACUAGAUGUUGAGCUCAAAAGUCAUCCGUGGCUUUAGUAGUAGACAUUGCAAGUGUUGUGUGAGUACGAAUACAAGCUAGUGUUGGUAUUUUUGUGGAUACCCUACGUACGGUCUAUGCAGGACUUCUAUUGUUUGGGCUAGUUUGCAAUAUAUGGCUACUCUGUAAUAUGUAAUAUAUAUAUACAUAUAUAAUAAUAAUAAUAAUAAUAAUAAUAAUUUCAGAUAGUUUUUUAGUGAAAUGAAAGUUCAUUUUGCUUGAAUUUACAUCCGUGGUAUUUUUUGGCUUGAAUUUACAAGAAAUGGUAAUACAAAAAAAAAGUAACAAAAAUAUUUAAAUGGAUUAUAAAUGGAUAAUUGGUUUUUAUUUAAUCCAUUUAGAUCCAUUUAUUAAAUGGAUCUAAAUGGAUUGGAUAAAUUUUAUCCACCAUCCAUUAAGUCAAAACCAAUUAUGAACCAUUUAUCCAUAUUGCCACCUCUACUAUAAAUAAUAAACACACACUAUUUAAGGAAAACCCACAACCCAAUCCAAAAGGCAUACUGACUUUCAGAUUACACUGAGAACCUUUAAGUAAUACACACACACACCACUCACAAUCGAUGUGGAAUAGAGGGAAAGGGGGAGGGGAAACACCAAGACUAUUGCCAAAGGCUCACCAACAGCUUUUAACCACUCCAUGAUUUUUCUUAUCCACCAACAACCAUAAAUAACACACACACACACACUACCUAAGAAAAACCCACGGUCCAACCCAAAAGGCAUGCUGACUUUCAGGCUAUACUAAGGACAUUAGUUAUUAUUCGGCACGUUUAAAAUUCUAUACAUGCACAUUAUGCUGUUUUUUAUAGUAUUAUUUUCUCUUUUCUACUAUCAAAAUAUAAAUCUAAAAUUUGAACAGAUUAAGGUAUGAAAUAAACAGCCUGUAGUGAUUUAUUUUCGUCCUAUGAUCAACUACUCAGCAUAAGAGAAUUGAGGUAACCUUUAACUACUGAGCCAAAUCCCAUCACCACCAUCUUAUCAUGUCUAAUUAGUCUUUUAGCUCCUUGUAAUGUUAAAAAAAAAAACAAAAAUUGGAUACACUCGACAAAGUAAAAUCAUAAUAUUGUGUUUCUAUUUUCCUUCUUUUUUCUUUGCGGGAAAUUAGGUAUACUAUUAUACUUGAUCUUUAAUUGCCAAUAGUAUUGAAGUUGGCGUAUGUUUCAUUCUAUAACUAUUAUGUGUGUCUAGUGGUUCAAUUUUUCUUUUCAAGUUUGCCCUUUUUUGCUAGAUUAUAUUGACCUUUCUCAAAUCGCUUCAUACAAGAUGCAGGAUAUUUGUUGUAAUUUACUGUAUCAUCUCAGCAUUUGGUGUGGGAUCUUACUGUUUACCUCAUUGUAAUGAUAUAUCGUUAAAAUGGAACCAAAUGGGAGCAUGGAAUCUGUCCUUUUGCAGGCAUAAUUAAUUUGUGGGAAAAUCUUGCCACAUAUCUGCAAGGAAUAAAUAAAGAUUGACUAUAUAUAUAGGAAGCGAGAAUGUAUCCUUGUAAAGAACAUUUUUAUGUAGGGAUACGGAAAAGAGAAAUUUGAAACAUAUAGUUGGAUUGGUUUUUCUUGAGUUUAAAGAGUCAUAGGCUAAAAAAAGUAGUAGUAGUUCAAUUUUUUUUUUUAUCAAUACUAGUUCAAAGCCAUAAAUAACUAUUGUACAGUCAUAAUUUGGACUCAAAUGUGAUAAGGUGCAUUAUUCGAGCUAUUGUAAGUGAAACAAAAGAAGAAACAAAGUCACAAAGUUUUCCUAGUGAUCAAUAGUACUGCUGCUUCCUAGAAACAACAUAUAAAAAAAAAAUAGAGAGACGCUAUUAAUAUAUUAUAAAGUUCUCUCAAUGUUUGUCAUUUUUAUAUGGUAACUUAUUAUAGACGAAUUGUUAAAGCCAUGUGAGAAAGUUAAGAACGAAAUUACACUGACGUGUUUCAUUCCAAAGCUAAUUGCAUUGUUAGAAAUUACAUUAACGCGAUUCAUUCAAAAUCUAAUUUUAUUUCAUAAUUCAAAAGAAAUUUUGAUGCAAUAAAAAUUCUUUUUUGAAUAUGAGAUCUUGAUUAUGACAAUACAUGAAUACCCUCAAUGAUAUUAGAAAGCGCAUUCAAAAUUAGGGACUGACGUCGUCCUAAUUAUUUUGUAAGAAGGACAAUCUUGAAAAGGAAAAACUUGAACACUAACCAUCAAUACAAACUAUUGAUGAAUCUUUGUAAUUAACGAGGGAAACCAUGUUGACCAAUAAAAGUCAAUGGUAGUAGGUAGAAAAGCUGGCAUCAAUGUGCACCAUGUUGAGGGUAACUAUAGUAUAGAUAUAAAUAUAGAUAAAUAUUUGUAAUUAACAAGGUACAUCAUGUUCACCAAUAAAAGUCAAUGGUAGGUACUUGAAAGCGUCCUUUAGCACAGAGGAGCUAGAAACCAAAAUGAAAUGAAGGAGAUCAGUAAAUUAAUCACAAGAUGCCCUGAACUUGCGAGGAAGCCAAUUAGUGCAAUAAUACACCAUAUUUUAUAGAUGGGAAUCUGCAAAAAAGUGGUGGAGUCGGGUAAGAGUCUGCUGAUGCAAUUGCAAUUGUUGGGCUCCAGGCUUCAAAAUAAUGCAAAGAUGACAAUAAUGAGUUGGAGCCAGCUCAUUCCAGUUGCGAUAGCAAAAUGCUGUUGUCUGCCAGUCUCUUCCAGUCAUUUGCAAUUAUUAGUGUGAACGCACAUGAUUGGAAUGAGCGCUUGUUUAUUUAUGUAGAAAAAGUGAUCUUGUUAAAUCAGCACACCUCUAUUCAUUUACCUGAGCAAAACUCGGAUCACAUGCAUUAAUGCUAAUAAUAAUAAUGAUCUACAAUAUUAAAGUAUGUGUUAUAAUCUUGGGUUUCUCUCUCUUCUAUUGUUGCCUGAUUUUUAUUUCCCUAUCCUUGCUUUUUGUCUCACCAUCUCCUUAAAUAGUAAGUCAUUUAGAUAUGUCGUGAUUUUCCUGCCUUUUUUUUUAAAGCAAUACUCUAUUGUUAAACAGGAAUCUCCAAAUAUUUUUUAGUAGAAUAGAGGCCCCAUUUGACAAAUGAAUUUUUUGAAUGUUUGUCUAAAUAUUUACUAUAACUUACUGUAAAAAUUUGUGAAAUUUUUUUUUAAAAUGUGUAAUUUUUUGGAUAUUUUAAAGUGUAAAGUUUAAAAAUUUUGAAAAUUUUUUUUGAUGUUAUUGCAGAUAAAAUUAUUAAAAAACUUGUAACAGAUAAACUUGAUAAAAAACUUGUUUACCAAAAAAGCCCAGAGUGUUGUGCGCGAACUUGUUAUUUAUAUGGUACUCCAAGUAUUCAAAACUCAAAAGGAGAACUUAAAGGGGCAAACAAAAAAAAAAAUUUAAAAAAAGGAAGGCAAACAAAAAAAUUUAUUAGCAGAGGUUAUUCAUAGCCCAUGAUCCCAUGUGCAAUAUUGCAAUGCGACAUUGGCGAGAAGACAAAAGAGAUAGAGAUGCCGAGCCUUAGCACCAAGCUGUCAAGUGGCCGAUGCCCUUCCAUUUUCUAUCUGCCCAGAAAGCAAUACUAACUUCAACGAUGCCUGUGAUUCUUCAGUCAUCCUUUUCUUCUUUUUGGGUAAAAAAUGGGAGGGUGGAUAGAUAGGGAAGAACCAGAUUGAUUAAUUAGAGUUACCAAGGGCACGUUUGGCAUCUAGAAUAAAAGUUUUGCAAACUUAUUUCACAUAUAUGUAGUAAAAUACUAGUAAUUAAGAAUGUAAACAUGUAAAGGCAUUGUCUGUUUGGUAGUGCACAAAAUAAGAGGUGGAUCCAAAGUUAAUUUUUUCUAUCAAAGUGUUGCAACUUAAGUGGUGAAUGAUAAUUUUACAACUUUAAUAGUACACCUACCUUCUUGUUUUAAUUAUAUUUUAACUAUAUAUAUAUAUAUAUAUAUAUAUGAUUUAGUGGUUAAAGUUGAGAUUUUGGUCUAGUGCUUUUAUUCUUCCCAAAUCUAUCAUCAAGAAGAUUUGUAGUAUGCUAACUGAGAUUAGAACUCAUUACGGGGCAAAAGUUAAGUGGACUGAUAUAUGGAUGCCUCAGAAGGAGGGAAGAUUGGGCCUGUUUGAUUUAGAACUUUGGAACGAAUGUCUAAUCAUGAAGCAAAUAUGGCAUGUUUGCUGUAAAAAGGAUACCCUUUGGGUUAAAUGGGUUCAUACCAACAACUUGAAAGGGUGUUCCUUUUGGGCAGCAAAGAUUCCGGUUAAUAGUUCUUUUUUUUUUUUUUUCCAGAAACGAUAGAUUAAUUUAUUUCUACGAAUAGAGAAAAUACAAUAUAUGAGCAAGGGCUCAAGUUGUGGUCUACAAAGGUGUACUGAGACAUCGAGGAUCAACGAACUCCUCAUCAAAAUAGAUGUGCAUUGCUUGCUUACUCAGUUCAUAACUGAGUGUAUUAGUACUAAUAUUACUGGGUUGGCAAACAAAUGAGCAUGUCCUAAACAUUAAGCUGAGAUCAGUGAUGCAUUCGAGAUGGCCUGCUAUAAGGAAGUUGCUUGGACAUUGGCAGCGUAUCAUCUUUAAAAUGCGGUUGCAUGAAAUAUGAACCUGUAUGUUUUGCAAGUCCCGUUCCUUUAGCUUACAAAGAGCCAGUUGUAUCGCCACCAAUGUGUCCAGCACAGACGAUCCAGUACUUCUUUCUGUGAGCAUCCACCCUGCCCCAAGCUGAUUCAGUGCAUUUGUUACUGUGACGCCAAUUCCCAUAUUUAGUCCUUCAAUGUGUUGCCCCACAUGUAUAUGAACUCUCAGGAUGUCCUGCUCUGGUUCCCUCGUUUGCUCUUGUUCAUUUACUAUGUCUGUUUCGGAAAUGCUCAUACAUUGCCGUGCCUGUUGGCAGUUAUAGUACUCCUCAAAGUCAUUCACUGCCUUUCUGACUACCUCCAUUGGAUGCCUAUAUUUGUCUUCAAAUUCUACUGCAUUUCUGGAUUUCCAAAUGUGCCAAAGAAUAUCCACAGUUAGACAAAUGUGUUGCAUUCCAUCCUUUCGUUCCUUUACUCCCAUUAGCCUGCUCCACCACUUCCUGAAAUCAGUUGUGUCCUCAUGAAGCCCAUCCCACUGUAACGGAGCCAUCUUCCAUAUCAGCUUUGCUUUGGUACAUUGGAAGAAAAUGUGCUCAACCGUCUCAGUUGUUUCUCCACACUGCUUACAGAUUAGCUCUCCCUUUCCCGUUCUCCUAAAUAUAGCUUCUCUGACGGGUAACACCUGGUGUAAACACUUCCAUAGAAACAACUUGUGUUUGUGUCUUAUUCUCAAUUUCCAUAGCUAUUUCCAGACUUUGUUGCAGCCCUCAAUCCAGCUUGUUUCUCCCAGAUUGCUCACAGGUGCAUUAGGCAUACUAUCCUCCGCUGUGAAGGCUUCAUAAGCAGAUCUGACCGUGUAUUUUCCAGUGGUGCCGUGCCUCCAGUAGUAACAAUCAGGUCUGUUUGUCACACUGAUAGGCAUUUUGAGUAUAUUCCUAGCUUCAUAUGGAGUGAAAGUUCGGAAGAUGAGUGGUGAUUUCCAUCUGAAACUGGAGAUCAGCUCGCUAACUUUUGUGAUGGUGCAUCCCAGUGGUUUUGGGGAUUCUACUUUGCCUUGCUUCCCUUCCAAUAGCCAAGCAUCUUCCCAGAUGUUAAUGCUCUUUCCGUUCCCUACUUUUUUCCUAAUUCCACUGCCUACCUCAUCUCUUACUCCCAUUAGACUCUUCCAUAUCCAUGAUGCAUUUCCUCUUACUUCACAGCCCAGUAGAGAAGUGUUGGGGUAGUACUUGGCUCUCAGCACUUUACUAAGCAAAAGAUUGGGGCAUCUGAGAAUCCUCCAAAGCUGUUUGCCUAGCAAGGCUUUGUUGAAGCCUUGGAGAUCUUUAAAGCCUAGUCCUCCCUUAUCCUUCGUAGUUGACAUCUUUUUCCAUGAAGACCAGUGCAUUCUCGUUCCCCCAUUGCCGUCCCCCCACCAGAAUCCUGCCAUCAUGGCAUUGAUUUCUUUGCAUAGCUUUACUGGAAGCUUAAAACAGGACAUUGCGUAGGUUGGCAUUGCCAUGGUUACUGCUUUGAGCAACACCUCCUUCCCAGCUUGACUUAAGCGUUUAUUGGACCAGUUAAAGAUGGUUCUUUUGCAUUUUUCUCUAAUGAAACCAAAGAGCUGAUCUUUGGUUCUAGUGAUGACCAUAGGCAGACCCAAAUACUUCCCUUGCUUCACCACCUUUAUGUUUUCCAAGCAGCUGCAGAUUUCUCCUUGAUGUCUUGGUUCCACAUUUUUGCUAAAGAACACAGACGAUUUUUCCAUGUUGAUCAGCUGUCCAGACUCUUGUUCAUAAAUCUUCAAAAUUCUGCUAACUUCUUGAGCUUGUCUGUUGUCCGCUUUGCAAAAGAUUAACGAGUCAUCUGCGAAGAAGAGGUGCGUUAUUGACGGGCCACUCCUACUGAUCCUCAUCCCAGUUAGCCUUUUACUUCUUUGUGCUUGGUCCAGCAGGUGUGAAAAACCUUGGGAGACUAAGAGAAAUAAGUAAGGUGACAAAGGGUCUCCUUGCCUAAUUCCUCUUGACGGUGUGACGUAUCCUGUAGGCUCUCCAUUGAUGUUGAAAGAAAAAGAAGCUGUUGAGAUGCACUCCAUUAUCCAAGUGAUCCAUGUAUCACAAAAACCCAUUUUUGCCAUGAUUGCCUUCAGGUAUCCACACUCUACCCUGUCGUAAGCUUUCGACAUAUCUAACUUUAAGGCCAUAAAACCAUGGGAUCCAUCUCUUUUGUUUUUUAGGUAAUGCAUGUACUCAUGAGAGAUGAUGACAUUAUCUAAAAUCUGCCUUCCAGGAACAAAGGCAGCCUGGUUUGCACUGAUGCAUUUUCCCAAAAAAUUUUUCAGUCUAUUUGCUAAAAUUUUUGAAAUGAUUUUAUACAACACAUUGCACAAACUUAUUGGCCUGAACUGCUUAACCUCAGUGGGGUGCUCACCCUUGGGAAUAAGAGAUAUGUUGGUGUGAUUCAUGGCUUUCAACAUAUGGCUGGAAUGAAAGAAGCUUUUAGUGGCUUUUAUGAUGUCUUUUUUAACAAUGUGCCAAAAUGUCUGAAAAAAAAGUGGAGUCAUGCCAUCAGGACCCGGGGCUUUGGUUGGGUUCAUGGAGAAAAGGGCAUCUCUAAUUUCUCUGUCCUUGACUGGUUGGGUUAAAUCUGAAUUCAUGUGGUCUGAAAUUGUCUGCGAUAUUCCCUCCAAAGACAUAUGAGUUUGAGUCAUUCCCUUACUCCUGAAUAGCUCCUUAAAAUGAUUUACAACUUCUUCCCCAAUUUCCUCCUCUGAAUUGGUCCAAGUGGUGUCCUCCCUUUGUAGUCUUUGAAUUUUGUUUUUCUGUCUCCUUCCUUUGACACUAGAGUGAAAAAAAUGGGUAUUUUUAUCCCCCUCCUUUAACCAUUGCACUCUAGAUUUUUGACUCCAAAACAGUUCCUCUUCGUCAUAAGCCUCCUUUAAUUGUCUUUUAAGAUCCCUGCUCCUUGACUUUUUGUCGUCACAGUCACUGGCUUUAAUCUCUUCCAAUAGCUUUUUAAGAUUUUCAAUUCGGUGCCUUGCAUUUCCUUGGAAGGUAGUUUUCCAUUUCAGUAUCGCCAACCUGCAGUUUGCUACUUUCUUAUGCACUUUGUACAUAUUGGAUCCUGUUUGCUCCUCCUCCCAAGCCUGCCUUAUCACUUGUUCCAGCCCCUCUUUGUGCAACCACCUUUUAUCAAAAAAGAACCGCUUCUUUUUCUUUUCAGUUAGAGGAUUUGAAUCUAUAAGCAUCAUACUAUGAUCUGAUCCCACAUUAUCUAUAUGUCUAACUGUAGUUUUGUCAAAAACCUGGCUCCAAUCAUUACUUCCCAAAGCUCUAUCUAGUCUUUCCUUGAUUUCACCUUCUUGAGUCCAGUUGUUACUCCAAGUCCAGGGGUUGCCUUGGAAACCCAGAUCAAUAAGUCCAUUUUGUUCAAUGAAGUUUCUGAAAUCUUGAAAGCUUCCCUCCUCUCGCUUUCUACCACCCCAUUUCUCUUCAUUAGAUUUAAUAUCAUUGAAAUCACCUGUAAUCAUCCAUCUAGGACCCCAUAGCACUUUCCUUCAUUCCACUACUUGCCACUGAUUCCUUCUAACCAGAUUAUCCGUGCUUGCAUAAAUGCCAAUAAACCACCAGUCCACAUUCUUGUCCAAGUCCAUGAUAUGGAUUUCCAUGGUGAAAGCAGUUGUUUGAACAUCCAAAACCUUAACCUCAUUGUUCCACAUUACAGUCAUGCCACCUGCCUUAUUCAUUGAUUCUACCACUACACACUCAUCAAACCUCAAUUUCCUUUUCACUGUCAGCAUAAACUGAAGUCUAUUUUUGGUCUCACACAAAAAGACCACAUUGGGGGAGAGGAGGUUGCAAGCCUCCCUCAGCUGGGGAAUUGUCAAGGGGCUCCCAACACCUUGGCAAUUCCACACCAGUGCUUUCAUUCAUCCAUGGGUGGCCAAGUUAGGCUGGCCACCGCCCCUUCAUAUUGGUUGACACAGUUGUCUUGCUCCUCCCCCUUUCUCCACUUUUUUCCCACUGUUUCAGUGAUUUCCACAUCCACCAUAUCCUCAUCAGUCAGAAGAAAUUUUCUUUUCCCCGUAGUCUCCUUACACAGCCUGGAUUGCUGAGCCUGUCGCAUUGAUUUUCUCUUUAUCACUGGAACUUUUAAUUGUUUCCCUGUUCUUCUCGCCAUUCCAUUGUUACUCGGUGCAUCCAUAACAUCUAUCUGCUCUUCCACUUGCAUGUACACAGCUUCAGGUUCCUUAGAGGAUUGCUCUACCUCCUUGUCAAGGACUAUGUCUAGCUGACCGCCAUCUACACUCCCUUCAAUCAUUUGUUGAGAUAGUUUUUCCUUUCCCUUGCUAUUUUCCAUCUCCUCACCCCUGUUGUCCGUAUUUUCUGAUUCAUGCCUUGUCACUAUCGCCUCAACUGUUAUGUCUCCCCCAGCAGGUCCACUCUUCUUACGCGUACUUCCAUCCUCCCUAGCCAUGCUCCUCUCCAUCAGCACCUUAUCCCCUGUUUUUGGUACUAAUUCUCCAUCCUUAAAACCCCACCUUUGCUUGUUUGGAGAAGUGUUAACAGGUUGUCUCCCUCUUCUUUUCUUUGGAGGCGACAAAUGCCCCCCUCCUACUCUCAUCCAUGGGCCAAAUUGAUUAUCCUGCUGACCUUUCCCACCUACACUUCUAUUUGGGCACUUCCUAUCACUGUGACCUAUUUUACCACAAGUAUAACAGAAAUCAGGUCCCCUCUCAUAUUUGAAACUUAGCCACUUCACCUUUCCUUCCAAUUUCACCGUAGUACCUCUCAUGAGAGGUUGGGAUAUAUCAGCCAGCACUAGUAAUUUGAUAUGUCUUCCUUCCUUUCCUCCUCCUUGAGGGAUAAUCACUUCCUUAGUUUCAUGAAACACUGAUGCUAUUUUUUUUCCCACCUCUUUAGAAAUCCAAUGCACUGGAAGAUUCCACACUUGAAUCCAUAAUGGAGCAAGAUUAAAUUCAGCUCCUUCCUCCUGGUUAAUAGUUCUUGGGUAUGGAGGAAAAUAUUAUUGUUGUUAAGGGAAGAAGCUUAGCCUUUCAUUAGACAUUUGAUUGGAAAUGGUGCUGAUACAUAUUUCUGGUAUGACUGCUGGCACCCUAUUGGUCCUUUAUAUAAAUAUUUUUCUGAAAAUUUGUUGAUCGCAAAAGCUUCAAGAGUCUCUAGGUGUAUUCAGGGGAGUAUGUGGAAAUGGCCCCAAGGGAGACGAAGAACAGGGGAGAUAAAGAAACUAAUACGGGAGACCCCGCAUUUAUUUUUGCUUAAUACACAUGUUGCGGAUGAAGUAUACUGGUAUGGUAGUGCUUCUAGCCAAUUAACAACAUUCUAUUCAGCAAUGUCAAAACUUUGAGUUUGUGGAGCUCCAGUGCCAUGGGACAAGCUGGUAUGGGGGAAAGGUACUGUACCGCGUUACUCUUUCAUUGCUUGGAUGCGUUGUAGAGGAAGAUUACCUACCAGAGACCGUUUAAAGGCCUGGGGAGUGGCUUUGGAGUAAAAUCAGUGUGUCCUACGUAAUAGUGCUGAGGAAUCCAUUAGGCAUAUUUUCUUUGAUUGCACUCCAUCCAAUACAGUAUGGCAGAAGCUACAGUACUUGCGUGCAAUAGUUAAGAGCAGAUUACCCUGGGAUGCUGAGUUAAAAUGGUAUUCUGAUAACUGCAACUCAAACUCAUUUAUUGGUCAAAUCAGAAGGUUGGUGUUUUCAACUGCAAUUUAUCAGAUAUGAUGUGCGACGAACCAAAUCAUAUUUCAACGGAAAUGUAUUUCUGCUGUGACCAUUGUGUCUAUGGUCCUUGAAUCAGUUAAAAUUACUGUUGUGAGUUGGAGAGGAGUCCCACAGACCAAAGCCAAUUGGGAGCUAAAUAUGGAGUUCGGAUUAUGUCAUGUGUGUUUCCAGCAAGAUUUGAGUUUGCAUUACUGUAAUAGUGAUAGAAUUUAUGUAAGUAGGAAUUGUUUGAUUCCUGUGUGUACUCGCUUAUAUCUUGAUCAAUAAAGAUUCAUAUUUGCCCAAAAAAAAAAAAGAAUGACCAAUUACUUGCAUUACAUUAACAAUUAAUAUCAAUUAUUCCAACACUUACAGGAAUGAAAAACAUUCCCUUGAGUUGUAGUGAAUUAAAUCGAAAAAAGAACAACAAAUUUUAUUUAUAAAUUAUAAAAAAAUAUGGUAAAUUUUAGUGGUUAAUAGUGUAAGCAAAAAAAAAAUGAUAUUAGUUUCUGUGAUGCCACAAUUACACUCUUCUCUAAUAAAUGGACAAAUUGCAUUGCAUUUCAUUAAUAAAUAAUAUCAAACAUGCUAGUAGUGACAAAAAUAAAAGAUUUCUUACUUUUUUAUUUAUCAAAAAAAGAAUAAAAAAUUUUAUUUAUGAAAUACCCAAGUUUAAAGAGUACUUCAAACAUGAAACAAAGCAUAAUAAAUUGGUACUAUGAGUCUCUUAAAAAAUAUCAUGAAUCUUUUUAUUUUUUGGAUAAAAGUAAAUUAAGCCUUAAGAGCACGUUUUAGUAUGAGUAUAUUAGUAUUAAGUAAAAAAUUUUAACACAAAAUAUAAUAAGAACUGGAGUAUGAAAGAAGGCAAAGAGUUUUAUGUUGAAAAUUUAUUGGUUUAUAUUGCAACAAAAAUUAAAUUUAAUGAACUUUAUUAAUGGUAUUAUUUUAACAAUUGAUAGCAUUAAAUAUAUCAAUGCCAAUCAUAAUAAUAGUUAUAAAGGUGAAACACUCAUUUGAGUUAUGGUGAUUAAAUUAAAAAGUAUAUCCAAUUUCAGAGAGUACAUCAAAGGUGAAUAAAAAUAUUUCCAAAUUCAAUUUGACUGUUAUAUAAUAAAUAAUCUUAACAGCUUACAAUUUUUAAUCAUAUAAAUCUAUAAUCAUAAAUCAUGUCAUCAAUGAUAAAGUUUCAACAAAUGAAAAUAUUUCUCUUUAAAAUUAAGCUAUUUUAAAUUUGAACAAUGGAAUUCAGUAUAUUUAAAUGCUAUAGUAAUUAUAAUAGUACUAUAGAUCAUUUUACAAUCCACCAUUAGCGAAAAAUAAUAAUAAUUAGAAAAAAUCACUAAAACUAUUUAAAAAUUCAUAGAGUGACUUAAAAGGGAACAACAAAUUUUUUAAAAAGAUAAAGAUUUUAACUCAAAUGACGUAAAAGAGAACAUUCGGACAAUCUAAAUUUAACAGAAAGAAGAAAACAUUAAUUGUCUUACAAAAUAAAGUCCUCUUGGAACAAAUAAUGCUUUAUUACUCAUGCAUUUGUAUUGGUUAGGGCAAACCAAAUUCAGAAAAAAUAAAAAAAAACAUGAAUAAUAAAUAUCCUUUUUUUCGUUAAUAAGUUAAAAAUUUAAACUCAAAUAACAUAAAAGAGAACACUCAGAUAAUCCAAAUUCAACUGAAAGACAAAAACAUUGAUAUUGUUACAAAUUAAAAGUGCCCUCAGGCUAAAUAAUGCUUUAUGUUGCCUAGGCAUUUGUGUUGGUUAUAGCAACCAAAUUCAAAAAAUUAUAAAAAUAUUAAAUAUCACAUUUUUUUUGUCUCAAUUACAUUUAUUCCUUCAAAACAAUUGUUUUUCUAAAACUUUUGAGAAAUAUUAUUUGCAGUCACAUUUCUAUUAAUCAUACUCCCACUAUCGCUUAAAUCAUAUAGUUUUCAUUUGUUAAGAUAUGUGGUGACAUUAAAAAAAAAUGAAGUGCAAAUUACAUUUUCCAAAAUUUUAAGGAAAAAAAUUUAAAAACAUCAUGUUCAUGUUCACGUGAAAAGUACACGAUUCAUUACUAGUAAUGUAAAAAUGCUUGAUAAUCCAAAUAGAUGAGCUUCCUGUAGAUUGUUGGAGUUUGAAUGUUCAGUUCCCUGUGAAGUUUUUUGAAUAAUCUCGAGACUUGGAUGAACAUACGAUUGCAUAAUGGGUGAUGCUUUCCAUAGUCUGAACCUAGUUGAGGAUGACGAAAAUUAGUCUUGGCCUGUUAUGGACUGUAGGAACGGCAAGAGAGGAAAAGGAGGAGCAGGCCUUUAAAAAAUGAGCUAAGUUGUGAAAAGUGCGGGUGGGGAACAUUAACAUAAAUUUUUGUACAUUUUCUUUUUUCCUGAGGUAAUUGUCGGCAAUAACUUUGUCCAGUGCUUAGGGGAACACCCGUUGAUUUUGCAUUUCUAGUUUGAUAUAUGAGGGCCUUUCCAUGUCUGAAGAUCAAAUAAUACAGUUUGGAACUGCAGAUGGUUCUGCGGCAAGCUCAGUAUCAAAGAACAAGGAGAUUGAUGUGAGCAUCUAUCUAGUUGAGAUUGUUAUGUAUUAGGUCCUGAAUCCUCUAUAGUUUUGUGCUUUUGUGAUUUUGUACUUUACCACGUAACCCUCUAUAAUUUAAAAAAAUAUAUAGAACUCCAUUAUAAUUUGGAUUAAGGUGUCAUUGUUAGUUUUUCCGUUAAAACUAACGGUCAAUAGUAAAAAGUCAAAAUCAAACUAAUAAAUUGACAAAUUCACGUUUUCAUUAUUCUCUCUCUCUCUCUCUCUCUCUCUCUCUCUCUCUCUCUCUCUCUCUCUCUCUCUCUCUCUCUCUCUCUCUGUGUGUGUGUGGGAAAAAAGAGGUGAUUUUGAAAACCUAUGUUUUGGCUUACAAAAUCUUAAUUUUCUCCAAAUAUAAAAGAGAUGGAAGGAAAAUAAAAAAUAAAUAAUUAUGAAACAAAAAAGAUGGAAGGGAAAUAUAAAAAAGUAAAUGAGAAACAAAAAAUACCAAAUCUUUUUUUACUACAAAUAUCAUUAUAGGUUUCUAAAACAAAAUUUUAAUGGCAUUUUCUAUUUCUUAUUUAUCUAUUUUAUUUAAAUUUCUUCAAGUAAUGAAAAGAUAAAUUUGUCAAUUUAUUGGUUUGAUUUUGACCUUUUACUAUUGAUUGUUAGUUUUAAUAAAAAAAAAUUAAAGGUGACACUGUAAUUCAAACCAUGAGGAGAUUAUAUAUAUGUUUUUAAACUGUAAAGAGGUUAUGUGGUAAAGUACCUAAUCAUAGGGGAUAAAAUACAAUUUACCCAACUUAAUAUUAGCUAGCCCUUACAUUGCUAAAGCAAAUGGGUCAGUGGUUGCUCUUAAUUGCCAAGUACCAAUAUACAUAUACCGAGAUCAUCCGCAUUUUUGUUCCUAAUUGCCAGCAUAUACCACAUCUUUUGAUUUUCCAAUAAAUACUGCAAAAAAAAAAAAAAAAAAAGUGACGACACCUUCUAUACUACUCAAAGAUUAUUGAUUGUUCACCUAAAUUCGUCAAGUUUCAAAAAAAAUCUUUAAAGUGAAUUGAAUCGAAUUCAAAUUGAAACACUGGCAAAUUAGGGAAGGAAAGAGCAGAUUUGUACAAGCAGAAGGGAGGAUAAAUUAAACCAAAAUUGAUUGUUUGCUAAAUCAAUUAAAGAAAAGAUAAAGAGUAAUAGUAUACAGUACAUUAACAACAUCAAGCAUUAUACACAAUACAUACAAUAAAUAAGAAGGUAAGACACAGAAGAUGAUGAACUUGUCUCACAGAAGAUGUCGAAUGGGAAAAAAUUUACUAAUAAAAAAUAAAAUCAAAAAAAGAGAAAGCAGUGUUGUCCACAAGGGAAGCCACAGUGGCUGCUGCUGUUGCUGCUAGGAAAGAUUAUAUGUUUUCUUCUUCUUCUCUUCCCAUAGCUGGUGCUCUCUCCAUUCCCCAUCAUCUGUAUAGUAACCAAUGAGAAUUUCAGGAAUAUGUGCGAUUCUUGUGUAAUCUUCACUUUCUUCCUUCUGAUUCUCUAACAGCUUCUCUCUCAAUUGAGAACUCAUCUCAUACAAAGACAGCCGUUGAAGAUUGCUCAAGUGCUGAAUACCCAAUGGUAACUCCUCUAGUAACGGAAGUUGUUCUAGAAAUAGUUUUUGGAGACGAGGCAAUGCACCCUCCUCCACUCUCAUCCCUCUCAACCCUUCCAUUCUCUUUAGGUGCAACCUCUUCAGCAUUAGGAACCCUCCAGUUUUGAAACACAACCCUUCUCCUUGGUAAGAUCCACAGAAAUUAAUACUAACCAAAUUGGGCAAAUGUUGGAGGGAUUCAAGCGGAUCCUCCUCGCCUCUUAACCUGCUCCAAUUCAAAUCUAUUCUUACCAAGCCGUGAAGAUGAGCUACCCAUUGUGGCAUUUUUUCUAAGCGGCCACGCAAAAUCAGCAUACGAAGAGAUUGAAGAAACGAAGAAGAAGAAAGAGAAGGAUGAUUUAGAUCGAUUAUCUCAUGAUCAUCACCUUUUCCAAUUGAAGCAAUGCUUAAUUCCCGAAGACUGGUGAGGUUGGCAAGGGAGGAGCAGAGCUCCUUUCCAUCUUCUCUUCUUAAAUUUGUGAUACCUAAUUCUCUUAAUUGGGUCAACUUUCCUAUCUCCUUAACUAUUGUGGAUCCACCGCUUGCAUCUAUGCUAUCUAAUACUUCUAGGGCAAUAAGCCCUCCCAUAUUUGAGGGAGCUUUAAAUCCAUGAUAUCCAUAAUCAUCAUCGAAAGAAUCAACUUGUUGAAAUACUCUGAGAACCCGAAGUUUUUGCAGCUUUAGCAUUUCCAUGGGUAAUUCCCUAACUCUUGUGUCAGCCAAAUCCAGAUACUCCAAAUGUUGAAGCUUUCCAAUGGAUUUUGGGACUCUCUCUACUCUCGUACCCCAUAGGUCCAGAUGCUUGAGAUGAAACAUCUUGAAAAUCUCAUUUGGUAUUUCCUCCUGUGUCUCUUGACCACGCAAAUCCAAAACCUUUAACAGCUUACUACUCCUUGAAAUUUCAGAUAACAAUGUUUUGGAUAGUAGCGGGCUCAUGGAUCCAACUGUAACGAACGACCGAAGGUGGUCAAAGCAACAACUUCGUCUUUGUUGGUGGUGCUGGGUAUUGUUACUGCUACUACUAUGGACUGCCAGACGGCGUACCUUCUCGGAUGGCCAUGUCAUUGGUUGUCCAGUAGUGACUGUGACCAUGUUUUGUUCCCUUGACUUGAGAACAAUAACUUCUCUCAACAGGUCAUGGAUUCGACAAUUGUUGGGUAAUCCUUCAUAAAACACAUCAGUCACUUGAAUUAGGCUUCUAUUGACGAGUUCACUAAGAUAACCCCAGGCUACAUCUUCAAUACUCAUUCCUUCUCUCCCUUCUACUAACCUUUCAGCAAUCCACAAAUUAAUGAGUCUAUAGCAUUGUAUUUUGUAAUCCUCUGGGAAGAUGCUUGUGUACAACAGACAUGUCUUUAGAUGCCUGGGCAAAUCACUAUAACUGAGAGAGAGUAUCUUUUUAACUCUAUCCAGUUUACCAGCGCCUUCUAAUUCACCCCCAAGACUGUGUCGAACCAUCCCCCAUUCCUCUGUUCUGUUUACAUCUUUCAAAGCCAAAAGCCCACUGAUUGCAAGAAUUGCAAGGGGCAAGCCCUCACAUUUACCCAAUAUAACUUUGGCAACAUCCAUCAAAUGGCCAGGGCAACUACCUCCCUUAAAGAUCUUGUUGCAAAAUAGGGUCCACGAAUCUUCAAAGAAUAGUGGCUUCAUUCUGUAGAUAUAACCCAGAGAUUCUGUACAAGAGGCUGAGGCUACAUCAGCUUUCCGAGUUGUUAGCAUGACACGGUUGCAUACCUUUCAGCUUGUCAUCAAAAACAAUUGCAUACCUUUCAGCUUGUUGAAGAAAAUCUUUGACAAAUUUUUUCAGCUCAGUGGUAGUCAUGGACUCGAUCGAUUGUGGGACUGGUUUCUUCCCUUCCUCGUGUAACUGCCGAAUCAAGUCUUUCAGGAGGUACUGAAAGUCACAUGUUUCAGAGACAGUUACCCAAGCACGGACUGGGAAAUGCCUUCUGACUUCAAGAUCCUCAUGGACUUUUUUCACCAGGGUAGUUUUGCCAAGUCCUCCCAUACCAACCACUGAAACAACUUUUAGUUGGUAAUCAUCCCCUUCGAGAAGCUGAGAAAUUAGAUGGUUUUUGGGCUGGUCAAUGCCAACUAAUUUAGCUUCUUCCACAAGCAGUGCAUCAUCUCUGCUAUAACGCCAUGUUGUGUUGUUCACAGCAGAAAUUGAGUUGGAUGCUUGGGCAAAGAUACCAUAUUCAGAUUGGUAUCUUUGAUGAGCUUCAGAAAUACUUUUGAUUCUUGACUUGAUGCUUUGUAUUUCGCUAGCAACUCGAUAACGAGCUCUCAAAUUCUUGAUGGAGCUGAAAAUUCUCCAAACAGAGCCGUAGAAUCCUGUUUCGCGAUGCCGAGCAAAGCGAGCUACAAAUUCAUCAAGAAUGUCUUCAGUGUCAUAAGCUGCUUCUCGCACUUGCUUGAUCCAUUCUUGGAGCCUGGGUUGAGCAUCUUCUUCUUUUGCUUCUGCCUCUCUCAGGAAAGCCCUCAUGUGCCCCAACUCAUCCCUGAUGAAUUGGACCUCUUGCCGAAGCCCACCCAAUAGUCGUCCCUCCUCGCGCAGAAAAGUUGAGAGUUGAUCCAGCACAAAAGAGAGAACUUUUUCUGCCAUUUUCAGUCUUUCUUUCUAACUUAGAGAAUGUCGUGGAAGGCAGCUUCUCGUUUAUGGGACAGUCCACUUGUAGUGUCUUGAAAGGAAGAGGGAAGAGUAGGUUAUAGAUUCAUAAGCUGAUGAACUUUGAAACUAUAUGGUGCAGUAUAUAUCAAAAAGAAAAACCGCGUCAAAAGAAAAAGAAAGAAUUAAAAAAUUAGAAGAAACUAAAGCAAAAAACAUGAUGGAAAUUGAAGGCAGGAAGAUGGGCAGCAACGUGAGUUUGAAAGACGAAGCUGCCUUACCUGCUUACAAUACAGAAUCAUGGAAGCUAUGAAGAAGACACAACUGCAAAUGGUGGGGUGAUCAGCCUUCAGGACCUUCUUUCAACUGUGGGUCCUAUGGUCGGAUAAAGAUAAAGGAGCAUCUUUGAACUGUGGGUUCUUUACAAAGCGGGGUUGGACUGGACAUUAUUUUUUUUUUUAUUUUUUUUUUUUAGGUGUGUCCCGCAGGGAGUGGACCCCGCAGACUAUUCACCAUCCUCAACAACUUGCUGGCAGCAAGGUUCGAACCAGGGACCUGAAGCCCCAUCUUCAGCACCCUCAACCACCAGACCAAGCCCCUGAGGGCAACUGGACAUUAUUGAUUUCAUUGACGAAGCAAUAAAAUCAGGGAAAAUGAUUCAAAACGUUUCUUAUAUUUUAUAAGGUGAUUUAUUUUUUAAAAUAUAAUUUUAUGUUCCUUACAAAUUCAUAUUGACUAAAUUUGAUUCUUACUUAAAUUUUUGACUAGUUUUUGAUCGAAAUCCAUUACGUAACUUAUACGUGAUCAUUUUUUUGGCUAUGUUCAUAAAAUAGAAAAAAAAACCUUGAACUUCAAGAAAAGUAAACAAAUCUCAGCACUUACUUGAGAGAAAAUGAAACCUCUGGCAAUAGCUGAUCUGAACCUACCCUGUCAAAUCCAAGUUUGAUGAAAAAGAGAACACGGGCGAGGAAGAUGAUAAUUUGAAUCAAAAUUAAAACAAUGCAGUAUGUGCAAGGCCUUUAGCUAGGAAGAUGGAGUAUUACAGAGGAGAAGGUAGGAGCAGCACCGUUAUUGAUAGGAAAGUGGAUUGAAAUUGGCCGUGACUUUCCUGGUUGGAUAGUAGAACAAUGGGUUAAUCACAUUUUAUCCUCUUAAAAGAUACCCCAUUUCUCAGUUUACCUCCUAACCUUUAAUUUUGCUCACUUAACCCCCUUUAGGACAAAAUUGCCCUUGCAUUAUUUUGACUUUUCAUUUACCUUGUUUUCCUUUCUUUUAUUUCUUUUUCUCUUUCUUCUUUAUUUAAUUCUUCCUCUUUCCCACAAAAAUCUUUACCUUAAUGAUUGAAAUUAAAAAAGAGGAAUUGCAGAGAUCUAUCUUCUCCUUAAAAAAUUUAAAAAAUAUUCAAAUCACUUUCCUAAAAUAUAAUUUUUUUAGCCUUUCAAUUCUUUUAAUUUUGGGUUUUCCUCUUUCCUUUAUAGUUUCUUAUUUUAUUCUCAAGAAAAUAUCUUAAGAUGAAAUUGUGACCUGAUUAAUAAUCAUCAAUUGAAAUUUGUGACACGUGGCAUCAUACAAAAAAUCAAAAUUAGUUUUUGAUGUCUUUUAAACCUUCACCCAGAAAUAUGCAAUUAUAAACUCAAAACAAAAAUUUUCGUUGAAAUGGAAUUUCUAUUGGGAAGGAUGAAAGAGAGAAGAAAGAGAAAAAAAAUAAAAGAAAGGAAAACAAUUUCAUCUUAUGAUAUUUUCUUGAAAAUAAAAUGAGAAACUAGAAAGGAAAGAGGAAAACCCAAAAUUAAAAGAAUUGAAAGGCUAAAAAAAUUGUAUUUUAGGAAAGUGAUUUGAAUAUUUUUUUAAUCAUUUAAGAAGAAAAUAGAUCUUUGCAAUUCCUCUUUUUUAAUUUCAAUCAUUAAGGUGAAAUUUUUUGUGGGAAAGAGGAAGAAUUAAAUAAAGAAGAAAGAGAAAAAGAAACAAAAGAAAGGAAAACAAGGUAAAUAAAAAGUCAAAGUAAUACAAGGGCAAUUUUGUCCUAAAGGGGGUUAAGUGAGCAAAAUUAAAGGUUAUGGGGUAAACUGAGAAAUGAGGUAUUCUUUAAGGGGAUAAAAUGUGAUUAACCCUAGAACAAUUACUCAACGUGGAUCUCGUCCCUUGGCUGUCAGAGUGACACAUGGCAAUAAAAAUCGAGACUUAAAUGAUGAGGUCAGAGUCCAUUGUUAGGUGAUCGGAGAAUGAGUAGUUUAGUCAUUUCACGAAAUAUUAAUUGUAUUCAAGUUAUGAUGGAUAGUGCUUAAUUUUCCAUUUUUAAAUUAUGUCAAAGUUACACAAUUCUUUUGAAUUUUCCACGUCCACAUCGAGAAUUUUCCAAUCAUAUCUAUUUAGAAUUCUAAUUUUGCAACUUCACUGUAUAGGUCCAAAUCUACUUUGAAAAAUUUUAUGUCAAAUCAAAAUUUUGUGUUUCUAUUUUUCUUCUUCCUUCUUUGUAAAAUGAAUGACUUUGGUCAGUGAGAAUGUAUCCUUGUAAAGAAGAUUUUUACAUAGGGAUAUUGUUAUGAAAAAGAGAAAUUUGAAACAUAUAAUAGUUAGAUUUGUUUUUCCUGAAUUUAAUGAGUCAUAGGCUAAAAAAGUUGUAGUAGUUCAAUUUUUUUUUUCAAAUCCUAGUACGAAGCUGCUACUUGAGUUAAUGAAUUGAAAUUCACUGGUAAAAUUAACUAUUGUAGAGCCAUAAUUUGGACUCAAAUGCGAUAAGAAGCAUUAUAUGAGCUACUCGCUGUAAGCCGGAAAGCAGCUUUGAAACAAAAGAAGCAGAGGUACAAAGUUUUCGUAGUGGUCAAUAAUACUAUCGGUUCCUAGAAACAUCAUAAGAAAGGAGAUAGAGUAACACUAUGGAUAUUAUAAAAUUCUAUCAAUGUUUGUCAUUUUUAUAUGGUAACCAACUACAGAAAAAUUGUCAAAGUCGUAUGAGAAAGUUAAGGACGAAAUUGCACUAACUUGUUUCAUUCCAAUGCUAAUUGUAUUUCAUAAUUCAUAAGAAAAUUUGAUGCAAUAAAAUUUUUUUUUGAAUAUGAGACCUUGAUUGUGACAAUACAUGAAUACCCUCAAUGAUAUUAGAAAAUGCAUUCAAAUUUAGGGACACAACGUGGUCCUAAUUAUUUUGUAAGAGGGGUGAUCUUGAAAAGAAAAAACUUGAACACUCAACUAUCAAUACAAACUCACUCUUUUAGCAAAGGUAUAGAUCCAGAUAUUGAUGAAUCUUUGUAAUUAACAAGGUAAAUCUGUUGACCAAUAAAAGUCAAUGGUAGCAGGUAGAAAAGCUGGCAUCUAUGUGCACUAUGUUGAAGGUAACUAUAGUAUAGAUAAAUAUAAAUAUUUGUAAUUAACAAGAUACACCAUGUUGAUCAACAACAGUCAAUGGUGGGUAGAAGGCUGGCAUCAUCCUUCAAAGUGUCCUUCACGACAGAAGAGCUAGAAACCAAAAUGAAGGAGAUCGGUAAAUUAAUCACAAAAUGCCCUGAACUUACGAGAAUCAUCCUUGAAAACGUCCUUUAGGACGAAAGAGCUAAAAACCAAAUUGAAGGAGAUCAAUAAAUUAAUCACAAGAUGCCCUGAACUUACGAGGAAGCCAAUUUGUGCAAUAAUACACCAUACUUUUAGACGGAAAUCUGCAAUCGGUGAAGUUGGAUUAGACUCUGCUGAUGCAAUUGUGGGGUUCCAGGCUUCAAAAUAAUGCAAAGAUGACAAUAAUGAGUUGGAACCAGCUUAUUGAUGACAAUAAUGCUUGUAUUUUAGGCACGUUAGAUGUGAAAUGUGAGAGUUGACUGCUGUCUGAGCUCAUUCCAGUGUGAAAGAACCUUCUGCGAUAGCAAAAUGCUGUUCUCUACCAGUCCCAUUCAGUCAUUUGCAAUAUGAUUAUGGUUAUUUAUUAGCGUGAACACACAUGAUUGGAAUGAACAUUUGUUUAUUUAUGUAGAAAAAGUGAUAUUGUUAACGUUAUUUUUUAUAAAUAGCAGCCCGCUCAAGUGAUUGUGCUCUAUUUUUUUUGGGGUAAAUUGUGGAAGAUAGAGGCACUAUUAAAUCAGCAUACCUCUAAUCAUUUACCUACCGUAUAUCUAUAUGAGGGCAAAACUCGGAUCACAUGCAUUAAUGCUAACGAUAAUGAUCUACAAUACUAAACAAGAUAUAUCAUGAUAUAUAUGUUAUAAUCUUGUGUUUCUCUCUCUUUUAUUGUUAUCUGAUUUUUCUUUCAUCAUCCUUGCUUUUUGUCUCACCAUCUCCCCAUACGGUAAGUCAUUUAGAUAUGUCAUGAUUUUCCUGUCAUAUUUUUUAAAGCAAUACUCUAGUGUUAAAUAGGAAUAUCCAAAAAUUUCUGAUCAGGAUAGAGUUUUGUACACCAACUUGUUAUUUAUACGGUACUGCAAGUAUUCAAAACUCAAAAGGAGACCUUAAAGGGGCCAAAAAAAAAAAUAGGGAAGACCUCAUGACUCAUGAGGUCAGUUCAGGUUUCUGAAUUAUUCCAUCAAGGAUAUUGAAAUUGGAAAAAAAAAAUAGAAAAUUAUGAAUGAAACGGAGAAAAGGACCAAGAAAUCUAUAAAUUACCAUCAAAUGUCAAAUGAGUGGUGUUUUUCACCUAUUGGCGCACCCUUUAACCCGCCGCCCACCUCUUUUUCAAAUGGAUGAUAGAUAUAUAGAUAAUUGCAAUGCAAUGAAAUAUUAGAGACUUACUCUCAUCCUAGCAUAUCAAUUUCUUAACUUGAGGUGUAUAUGAUAACAAAUUUGAGUUUCUGUUUAAAAAGUAUAAUUUGUGAAUUGCCAGGUUUUAUUUUUUUAUUGGUGAAUAAAUUCCAAAUAUUAGAUUCAUGGUUUCUUUUCAGAAAUUCCUAUGUUUUAUUUGAUAUAUUUACUUUAAUUUGACAUAUAAGCAUUAUUCAAUGUAAUAUGCAGUACGCUUUUUUCCAGCUUCAGAUGUUGUAAAAAUUUUAUUUUCUUUUGCAAGUCAAAAUCAAAUUAGGAUUUGUUAUCCCUUAUGUUAUAUCCAGAACCUAGUAGAAUAAGAUUAAGUAGCAUUACAUUAUUUGGUAGAAACUAUGUUUCAUUAAGUAAUUUCGUUCCAAAUCUAACUAUAUUUCAUAAGAAAAAUGUAAUAUACUUCUCUUCCUAAAAUAAAUACUUAACAAUGAUAUUACACAAUUACCCUCAACAAUAUCUACAAGUCAUUCAAAUUUAGAGCUAGCCAUAAUAUGUUAUGGGAGGGUUAAUGUUGGAAAGAAAAAACUAAUUUUUACAAUAAUUAAUAAAGUAGAAAUAGUUCUUAAAUUUCCUUUUACAAUAUGGUUCCCUUUUUUUUGGGUUUAACUUUGUUUUACAAUAUGGUAUAUGGUUUCGUUUUUUUUUUUCUUUUGUUUAACUUUGUUUGGAAUUCCUUUCCUUUUAGAAUACUAAAUUUUAGAAGACGAUAAUUAUAUCAACACUAAUAUCCAUAAAUAUCCCUCCCCCAAUUCAUAUUUGAAAUUUAAUAUAAGCUUCAUUAUUUCAUUAUACAAGGGCAUUACUGGAAAGUGAAAACUAAAUUACUAAAACACCAAAUCACAUUGGUGCUUUUAAUAUAUAUGCAUAUAUACAUGUAUAUAUGUAUGUAUAUAUGUAUGUGAUAGACAUUUGCACAGAGAGACUUAUUUGGCAUCUAGUCCAACAAAGCUAACAAGGCAAGCACAAAAUUAAAAACAUAAAAAUAAAACGCCUUGAGAAACAUUAGAGAGAGAUUCAAGGGAUUGUCACCCAUGGCAUUCCAAAAGAAAAGGAAAACAACAAAUUAAAGAGGAGAAUCAUCGAGGACAUCGAAAAUUAAAACCCAAUAAAUUAACUUUCUGAUGUUGAAAUAAUGAUCAAGUGAAAGCCGUAAGAAAUUUUAUAUUGUAACUUAAUACAGAAGAAUUUUUCAAAGCCGUAAGAAAUUUAAGGACGAAAUAUGAGAAAAAUUCUUACUCACAAAAAAAGAAACUGCAGCAAAUAAAUGGAGUGGAGCCAUCGUAGUCAAAAAGUAAAAGAGAAACUAAAGCAAGAGACGUGAUGGAAAUUGAAUAGAAAGAAGAUAGACAGCAACGUGAUUUUGAGAUAGAGCGACGAAGCUGCCUUACCCGCUACACAACAAAAUCAUGGGAAUUAUUAAGAGGACCAUGCAGUUGGUGGGGUGUUCACUCUUUGUAGAUCAUUGUUAUGAGCUAAUAAUCCAACAGGAACAGAGAGAACUGUUUGUGCCACUUGCAGUUUUGUAGAUCAUUUAGCCCUCAAUAUAAAAUUUACUGGAUUCAGAUUUUAACAUAGAAAUUGAACAUCUAAAUUAAUUAAAUAGCACUACAUUUCUUAGAUAAAACUUACUCCCAAAAUUAAGUGAUAAGUUAUUCACUUAUCACUGAACGUGAUAUGCAUUCAAAUGCAUUAGAUCUAAUACUUAACAAUUUAAUAAUUUAAUGGAUUCAACUUUCAGAUUUAAAACUUUAGUUUUAUGAAAUGCACUUUCAGUGAUAAGUGAAUAGUUUAUCACUUAAUUUUGGGAGCAAGUUUUGCUUAGAAAAUUCAGUGCCACUUAAUUAAUUCAGAUAUUCAGUUUUUAGUUAUCAAACAGUAUGAAUAUGUUAAGAUCUGAAUUCAUUAAAUUUUAUAGGUGCUAAAAUGGGUUGUCAAACAGGACCUUAAUUUUGGAUUCUUUUGUGCUGUGCCAAAGAAUAAGAGAUGGACUCUUUAACUCUGUGGACAUUAAUCAAUCGAGUCUAAUCAAACCCAAUGAAGCAUAAGUAAUAUAAAUUAAUAUUUUAUAUAAUUUUAAAUGAGAAUACAAUUGACAUUUCACACUAAUAAAUAUAAAAAAAAAUUCAAAAGGAUAUAUUACAUUUAAAUCUCGAUUGAGUUCAACUGAACUUGAUGAGUUUUCAAGCUUCAUAUAGUAGACUCGAACUUGAACUCUUCAAGCAAUUUGAGAUACUCAAACUAAAUAUUGAACUCCUUUAACCUGAGUUUUGACAAAACAUGCUUGUGAGUAAUUAAUUUGUUGAGCUCGACUCGUUUUAUACCCAUACGACAAAAUACUCUCAAUUAAGGGAGUAAGUGACUAUGUUGCAAUUUUAUGGUGGGCUCUUCCCCCUUUUUGUGCUCUUAUGGUACAUAAAAGAGAAUCUCUGACCAAAUUUCGGCAUAAACAUACAUGUGCGUUCAAGUAGAAAUGAGGAAAGAUCACAAGAGAACGAGAAUCUACUACUAUAGAUAAAGAAAAACCCAACUCAAAAUGAAUUAUUCUAUCAAAGUUACAGGAGAGUAGGGGUGCAGCUGAGUUUUGAGCAUGUUGUGGGUUAAAGUUGGUUUUAGAUUUUUUUUUUCUCCUUUCUCGUCAGUUGAAGAAUGGACUGAGGAAAGUCAGAUUUCAAUUUCUGUAACUCGGCAGUCGGGGAUUGAUUUAAGAAGACAUUAGACAUUAACGUUGGUUGUGCUACUAUGGUUGGACUACGUCAUGGACGAAGUUAAGAAUAGAAAAGUAUAAACAAAUCUGUAAGCACAGUGUUUUCACCUACCAACGCCAAGAAGCAGCUUUUUUACCAGUAUUUGUAAACCUUGAAUUCCAUAAUAAUGUAGUUGCUUUAGCCUGAGCUUUAAAUACCCCUACCCUUAUUUUUGGGUAAAUUAAACAUAAAAUCCUAUGGUUUCACUCAUUGUCAUAUAACCCUAUAACAUUGUAAAAUAUCUAUUUCACUCCCUUAGGUUCAAUAUAAACUUUACAAAAAAUAAUCUCUGUAACGUCAUUAGUUCAAAUAUUAUUAAUUUCCUUACUUAAAUACUAAAGCGAAUAAAUGCCUAACCAUCUCAGAUAAAACCACAGGGGAAUUGUGUGGAUCAAUGCAAAAAACUGCAAUGAGGUAUGGUGGAUAUUUAUAUAAAUCAUAGAGGAUUAAGUGGAUUUUAUUAUUCCAUCACAUACGUUUUCUGGAAUGUGUUUGGUUCAAUCACCUAAUCAAUGAUGUAUUCCUUCCAUUUUCUACUUUGCAUAAAACCACAUAAAGGUUAUAUGACUAUUGUGAAACUUUAGAUGUGUUAUGUAGCAUUGAAGAAAAUUAUAGGGGGAUUAUAUGUAAUUUAUCCUUCUUUUUUUUUACAUGAAUUGUAGUUAUAUAUAUUAUUUUAAUGCUUUUAUCGACUAAAUGACAUUGAACCUUUUUUUGGGGGUCAAAUGAUGUUGUCAUCAAUAGAGAGAAAUUUGAGAAGGAAUAUGAGGGUUCAAAUCUCAUCUAUCUAUUAGAAACUAGCUUCCUGAAUUUCAGAAAAGGAAUUUAAUUAGAGAUCCUCUCUUCAUAUUCCUUUUUUUUUGGCUAGCGCUAUACGUUAAUCAAACAAAUUGCAAAGCCAAUCGUUCUUGAUUGCCCACAUGUUGCUAAAUCUAAUCAUCAGCAUUGGCUCUUAGUUUAAAAACCUAUAUGGAACCCCAUCAUGAUUUGGGUUAAUGUGUCACUGUUAGUUUUCUCGUUAAAACUAACGGUUAAUAAUAAAAGGUCAAAAUCAAACUGAUAAAUUGAUAAAUUCAAGCUUUCACUACUCUCUCUCUCUGGGAAGAGAAAAGGUGAUUUUGAAAACCUAUUUGUAUAGAAAAACUUUCCAAAAAAAUUUCUCGUUUACAUUAUAAACACAUUUUCCAAUCCACUUUUUUAUAUUCCUAACCACUUUUUUAUUUCACAUACAUCACAUCACAAAAAGCACUACAGUAAUUAUUUCAAACAAUUAUUUGGAAUAAUACUCUAUCCAAACAAAGCCUUAAUUUUCUCCAAAUAAAAAAGAGAUGGAAGGAAAAUAAAAAAUAAAAAUAAAUAAAUAAGAAACAAAAAGGAUGGAAGGGAAAUAUAAAACAAAUAAAUGAGAAACAAAACAUACCAAAUCUCUUUUGACUAGAAAUAUCAUUAUAGGCUUUUAGACCAAAUCUUUAAUAGCAUUUUCUGUUUGGAGGAAAAAAAAGAAGUAAUGGAAGGGUAAAUUUGUCAAUUUAUCAAUUUGAUUUUGAUCUUUACUAUUGACCAUUAGUUUUAAUGAAAAAAAAUAAUAGUGAAAUUUUAACCCAAAUCAUAAGGGAGAUUAUAUAUAUGUUUUUUAACCGUAGAGGGAUUAUGUGGUAAAGUAUCAAAUCACAGGAGGUAAAGUAUAAUUUACCCAACUUAAUAUUAGCUAGCCUUUACAGUGGUAAAGCAAAUGGGUCAGUGGUUGCUCUUGAUUGCCAACAUACAUAUACGUAGAUCAUCCGCAUUCUUAAGCUAAAUUGCCAGCGUAAACCAUAUCUUUUGAUUUUCCAAUAAAUACUGCAAAAAAAAAAAAAAGAGUAACGAGUCCUUCUAUACUACUGGAAGAUUAUUGAUUGUUCACCCAAAUUCGUCAAGUUUCGAAAAAAAAAAUCUUUAGAGUGAAUUGAAUCGAAUUCAAAUUUUGUGUUUUGCGAUAAUUCCUAAAAGAGAACGAAAUGCAGAUUUUGAGUGUAAAAAUAUUUUAAGAAAUAGUGAUACACAUUGUAAGUUUAUUAGCACAGUCAAGGCACAAAAAGAUAGAGUAACAACAUCAAGCAUUAUACACGAUAAAUAAGAAGGUAAGACACAGAAGAUGAUGAACUUCUCGAAGGGGAAAAAAAUUACUAAUAAAAAAUAAAAACAAAAAAGAGAAAGCAGUGUUGUCCUCAAACUAGAGAACGGGAAGCCACGGCAGCUGCUGUUGCUGCCAGGAAUGAUUAUGUUUUCUUCUUCUUCGCCCACAGGCUGCGGUGUCUCCAUUUCCUAUCAUCUGUAUAGUAACCAAUGAGAAUUUCAGGAAUGUGAGCGAUUUUUCUGUAAUCUUCACUUUCUUCCUUCUGAUUCUCUAACAGCUUCUCUCUCAAUUGAGAACUCAUCUCAUACAGAGUCAGCCGUUGAAGCUGGCUCAACUGCUGAAUACCCAAUGGUAACUCCUCUAGUAAUGGAAGUCGUUCCAGAAUAAGAUUUUGGAGACGAGGCAGUGCACCCUCCUCCACUCUCAUCCAUCUCAACCCUUCCAUUCUCUUUAAGUGCAACCACUUCAGAUUUAGGAACCCUCCAGUCUUGAAACACAACCCUUCUCCCUGGUAAGAUCCACAGAAAUUAAUACUAUCCAAAUUGGGCAAAUGUUGGAGGGAUUCAAGCGGAUCCUCCUCGCCCCUUAACCUGCUCCAAUCCAAAUCUAUUCUUACCAAGCCGUAAAGACGAGCUACCCAUUGUGGCAUCUUUUCUAAGCGGCCACACAAAAUCAGCAUACGAAGAGAUUGAAGAAACGAAGAAGAAGAAGAAGAAGAAGAAGCAGGAGGAGGAGGAGGACGAUGAUUUAGAUCGAUUAUCUCAUGAUCGUCACCUUUACCAAUUGAAUCAACACAUAAUUCCCGAAGACUGGUGAGAUUGGCAAGGGAGGAGCAGAGCUCCUUUCCGUCUUCUCUUCUUAACUUUGUAAUAUAUAGCUCUCUUAAUUGGGUCAGCUUUCCUAUCUCCUUGACUAUUGUGGAUCCACUACUUGCAUCUAUGGAUUUUAAUAUUUCUAGGGAAAGAAGCCCUCCCAUAUUUGAGGGAGCUUUAAACCCAUGAUAUCCAUAAUCAUCAUCGGAAGAAUCAACUUGUUGAUAUACUUUGAGAAACCGAAGUUUUUGCAGCUUUAGGAUUUCCAUGGGUAAUUCCCUAACUCCGGUUUUUCCCAAAUUCAGAUACUCCAAGUGUUGAAGCUUCCCAAUGCCUUUUGGGACUCUCUCCACUCCUGUACCAUAUAGGUCCAGAUGCUUGAGAUGAAACGAGUUGAAAAUCUCAUUUGGUAUUUCCUUCCGUGUCUUUUGACCUCUCAAAUCCAAAACCUUUAACAACUUACUACUCCUUAAAACAUCAGAUAACAACAUACUGGACAGGAGUGGGUUUUUCGAUCCAAUUGUAACGAACGACCGAAGGUGGUCAAAGAAAUAAUUUGGUCUUUGCUGGGUGUUGUUACUACUACUACUAUGGACUACUAGACGGCGUACCUGCUCGGACGGCCACAUCGUUGGUUGUCCAGUAGUAAUUGUGAUCAUGUUUUGUUCUCUUGACUUGGAAACGAUAAUUUCUCGCAAUAGAUCAUGGACUCGACAAUUUCCAGGCAUUCCUUCAUAAAACACACGAGUCACUUGAAUUAGGCUUCUAUUGACGAGUUCACUGAGAUAACCCAAAGCUACAUCUUCAAUGUUGAUUCCU
This 32314-nucleotide long non-coding RNA is filed under the name Coffea arabica (coffee). RNAcentral describes it as "long non-coding RNA (CARA_LNC005521)". Lineage: Eukaryota; Viridiplantae; Streptophyta; Magnoliopsida; Gentianales; Rubiaceae. The record is from RNAcentral.